This 2888-nucleotide ribosomal RNA is filed under the name Acinetobacter baumannii 1475764. RNAcentral describes it as "bacterial LSU rRNA". It matches the Rfam family "Bacterial large subunit ribosomal RNA". Lineage: Bacteria; Pseudomonadati; Pseudomonadota; Gammaproteobacteria; Moraxellales; Moraxellaceae. The record is from RNAcentral.
CAAGUAAUUAAGUGCAUGUGGUGGAUGCCUUGGCAGUCAGAGGCGAUGAAAGACGUGAUAGCCUGCGAAAAGCUCCGGGGAGGCGGCAAAUAUCCUUUGAUCCGGAGAUGUCUGAAUGGGGGAACCCACCUACUUUAAGGUAGGUAUUGCAACAUGAAUACAUAGUGUUGCAAGGCGAACGAGGGGAAGUGAAACAUCUCAGUACCCUUAGGAAAAGAAAUCAAUUGAGAUUCCCUCAGUAGCGGCGAGCGAACGGGGAUCAGCCCAUUAAGUUAUGUGUGUUUUAGUGGAACGCUCUGGGAAGUGCGAACGUAGAGGGUGAUAUUCCCGUACACGAAAGGGCACACAUAAUGAUGACGAGUAGGGCGAGGCACGUGAAACCUUGUCUGAAUAUGGGGGGACCAUCCUCCAAGGCUAAAUACUCCUGACUGACCGAUAGUGAACCAGUACCGUGAGGGAAAGGCGAAAAGAACCCCUGUGAGGGGAGUGAAAUAGAUCCUGAAACCGCAUGCAUACAAGCAGUGGGAGCACCUUCGUGGUGUGACUGCGUACCUUUUGUAUAAUGGGUCAGCGACUUAUAUUCAGUAGCGAGGUUAACCGUAUAGGGGAGCCGUAGAGAAAUCGAGUCUUAAUAGGGCGUUUAGUUGCUGGGUAUAGACCCGAAACCAGGCGAUCUAUCCAUGAGCAGGUUGAAGGUUGGGUAACACUAACUGGAGGACCGAACCCACUGUCGUUGAAAAGCCAGGGGAUGACUUGUGGAUAGGGGUGAAAGGCUAAUCAAGCCUGGUGAUAGCUGGUUCUCCCCGAAAGCUAUUUAGGUAGCGCCUCGGACGAAUACCAUAGGGGGUAGAGCACUGUUUCGGCUAGGGGGUCAUCCCGACUUACCAAACCGAUGCAAACUCCGAAUACCUAUGAGUACUAUCCGGGAGACAGACUGCGGGUGCUAACGUCCGUAGUCAAGAGGAAAACAAUCCAGACCGCCAGCUAAGGCCCCAAAAUCAUAGUUAAGUGGGAAACGAUGUGGGAAGGCAUAGACAGCUAGGAGGUUGGCUUAGAAGCAGCCACCCUUUAAAGAAAGCGUAAUAGCUCACUAGUCGAGUCGGCCUGCGCGGAAGAUGUAACGGGGCUAAAACUAUGUGCCGAAGCUGCGGAUGUAUACUUUGUAUACGUGGUAGGGGAGCGUUCUGUAAGCCGAUGAAGGUGUGUUGAGAAGCAUGCUGGAGGUAUCAGAAGUGCGAAUGCUGACGUGAGUAACGACAAAACGGGUGAAAAACCCGUUCGCCGAAAGACCAAGGGUUCCAGUCCAACGUUAAUCGGGGCUGGGUGAGUCGACCCCUAAGGCGAGGCCGAAAGGCGUAGUCGAUGGGAAAAUGGUUAAUAUUCCAUUACUUCUGUGUAAUGCGAUGAGAGGACGGAGAAGGCUAAAUCAGCCUGGCGUUGGUUGUCCAGGUGAAAGGAUGUAGGCAUGUAUCUUAGGCAAAUCCGGGGUACUCUAUGCUGAGAUCUGAUAGCAAGCUGUACUUGUACAGCGAAGUGGUUGAUGCCAUGCUUCCAGGAAAAGUCUCUAAGCUUCAGUUACACAGGAAUCGUACCCGAAACCGACACAGGUGGUCAGGUCGAGUAGACCAAGGCGCUUGAGAGAACUCUGCUGAAGGAACUAGGCAAAAUGGUACCGUAACUUCGGGAGAAGGUACGCUGUUGUUGGUGAUGGAACUCGCUUCCUGAGCUGACGACAGCCGCAGAAACCAGGCCGCUGCAACUGUUUAUUAAAAACAUAGCACUCUGCAAACACGAAAGUGGACGUAUAGGGUGUGAUGCCUGCCCGGUGCUGGAAGGUUAAUUGAUGGGGUUAGCGUAAGCGAAGCUCUUGAUCGAAGCCCCAGUAAACGGCGGCCGUAACUAUAACGGUCCUAAGGUAGCGAAAUUCCUUGUCGGGUAAGUUCCGACCUGCACGAAUGGCAUAAUGAUGGCGGCGCUGUCUCCAGCAGAGGCUCAGUGAAAUCGAAAUCGCUGUGAAGAUGCAGUGUACCCGCGGCUAGACGGAAAGACCCCGUGAACCUUUACUGCAGCUUGACACUGAACUUUGACCUUACUUGUGUAGGAUAGGUGGGAGGCUUUGAAGCUGGAACGCUAGUUCCAGUGGAGCCGUCCUUGAAAUACCACCCUGGUAAUGUUGAGGUUCUAACUCUGUCCCGUGAUCCGGGACGAGGACCGUGUCUGGUGGGUAGUUUGACUGGGGCGGUCUCCUCCUAAAGAGUAACGGAGGAGUACGAAGGUGCGCUCAGCGUGGUCGGAAAUCACGCGUAGAGUAUAAAGGCAAAAGCGCGCUUAACUGCGAGACCCACAAGUCGAGCAGGUACGAAAGUAGGUCUUAGUGAUCCGGUGGUUCUGUAUGGAAGGGCCAUCGCUCAACGGAUAAAAGGUACUCUGGGGAUAACAGGCUGAUACCGCCCAAGAGUUCAUAUCGACGGCGGUGUUUGGCACCUCGAUGUCGGCUCAUCUCAUCCUGGGGCUGAAGCAGGUCCCAAGGGUAUGGCUGUUCGCCAUUUAAAGAGGUACGCGAGCUGGGUUUAGAACGUCGUGAGACAGUUCGGUCCCUAUCUACCGUGGGCGCUGGAAAUUUGAGAGGAUCUGCUCCUAGUACGAGAGGACCAGAGUGGACGAACCUCUGGUGUACCGGUUGUGACGCCAGUCGCAUCGCCGGGUAGCUAUGUUCGGAAGGGAUAACCGCUGAAAGCAUCUAAGCGGGAAGCCUACCUCAAGAUAAGAUUUCCCUAGGACUUUAUGUCCUCUAAAGAGCCGUUCGAGACUAGGACGUUGAUAGGUUGGAUGUGGAAGCAUAGUGAUAUGUGAAGCUGACCAAUACUAAUUGCUCGUGAGGCUUGACU